Molecule: transfer RNA, 80 nt
Filed under: Candidatus Peribacteria bacterium
Lineage: Bacteria; Candidatus Peregrinibacteriota; Candidatus Peribacteria
Description: tRNA-Leu
Rfam family: tRNA
About the family: Transfer RNA (tRNA) molecules are approximately 80 nucleotides in length. Their secondary structure includes four short double-helical elements and three loops (D, anti-codon, and T loops).
Source: RNAcentral
GGUGAUUUGGCCGAGUGGUCUAAGGCGUCAGUUUAAGGCACUGAUCCGAAAGGGCGCGGGUUCGAAUCCCGUGAUCACCA